This 466-nucleotide ribosomal RNA is filed under the name uncultured marine group I thaumarchaeote. Its description in RNAcentral is "bacterial SSU rRNA". It matches the Rfam family "Archaeal small subunit ribosomal RNA", at positions 428 to 893 of the family's 1478-position model. The record is from RNAcentral. Lineage: Archaea; Thermoproteati; Nitrososphaerota.
CUAGUGAAUAAGGGGUGGGCAAGUUCUGGUGUCAGCCGCCGCGGUAAAACCAGCACCUCAAGUGGUCAGGAUGAUUAUUGGGCCUAAAGCAUCCGUAGCCGGCUCUGUAAGUUUUCGGUUAAAUCCACGUGCUCAACGCAUGGGCUGCCGAAAAUACUGCACAGCUAGGGAGUGGGAGAGGUAGACGGUACUCAAUAGGAAGGGGUAAAAUCCUUUGAUCUAUUGAUGACCACCUGUGGCGAAGGCGGUCUACCAGAACACGUUCGACGGUGAGGGAUGAAAGCUGGGGGAGCAAACCGGAUUAGAUACCCGGGUAGUCCCAGCUGUAAACGAUGCAGACUCGAUGAUGCAUUGGCAUAUAGCCAGUGCAGUGUCGCAGGGAAGCCGUUAAGUCUGCCGCCUGGGAAGUACGUACGCAAGUAUGAAACUUAAAGGAAUUGGCGGGGGAGCACCACCAAGGGUGAAG